GCCCCGGCGGCUCCUUCCCCGCCCGCCCCCGCCGCCUCUCCAGGCCUCGCCGUCCCUGGGGCCGCCCCUUGGGAACGGAGGAUGAUGAAGCUCAAGUCCAACCAGACGCGCACCUACGACGGGGAUGGCUACAAGAAACGGGCGGCCUGUCUGUGCUUCCGCAGCGAGAGCGAGGAGGAGGUGCUGCUGGUUAGCAGUAGUCGUCAUCCGGAUCGAUGGAUCGUCCCUGGGGGCGGCAUGGAGCCCGAGGAGGAGCCCAACGUGGCUGCCGUGCGAGAAGUCUGCGAAGAGGCUGGAGUGAAAGGGACGUUAGGAAGAUUGGUGGGAAUUUUUGAGAAUCGGGACAGGAAACAUAGGACAUAUGUUUACGUACUGAUUGUCACAGAAGUGUUGGAAGACUGGGAGGACUCUGUCAAUAUUGGAAGGAAAAGGGAAUGGUUUAAGAUAGAAGAUGCCAUCAAAGUUCUGCAGUAUCACAAACCGGUGCAGGCCUCGUAUUUUGAAACCUUGAGGCAAGGCUGCUUGGCAAACAACGGCACUCCAGUCAUGACCACGACGUACUCUGAGGGCUCUGUGUCUGACAUCAGAUGACUGAGGACGUCCCUGUGAGAGAGAUUUUGAAAAACAGACUGAAACAUGGAUUUCCCCCCCCUCCCCUCCCCUUUUUCACAUGCCUCCUCUAUCAAACAAGGCAUGGGCAGCAGCCUGUGGCAGAGCAAGUGUUAAGAGUGCUGCAAUUUAGUGCAAGUGCUAGUGGCUGGGCCAGUUUACUCCCCAUUCAGCAACUCCCCAUUUGGUGCAGUGACUCUUGAAGUUGAGGGCAGAGUUUUGAUCACCUGCAGACAUCCCUGCUGCUCAGUCGCUUCUCCUGCAGCUUCUGCCGCCGUUUCUGCUUUUCACAUCAAAAUGAAACAAAAAGAGUUGGUCUUUUAGGGCUUGGCCAAAAAUAAGUAGCCUCAGAAACGCUACGGUAGGAAACAAACGUCUGUGGUGGGGAUUCAGAGGGGGCUCAAAGUCUGACAAACUGGAGUGUCAAUCACCAAUGCUGUUCUGCUGAUCCUGCUGCAUUCUGCUGAUGUCUCUUCUUGUCCACAUGCCUUACACCGUGCUGAACUGGAUAUCCUAACUUGUGCUGAAGCAUCGGAUUGUACUUAGUGAGUGUUGCUGCGCCGACCCUUGGCUGGAUGACCACGAAUAUCCCUGAGAAGAAGCCCGGGGGGAAAAAUUCAGGUGUUCAAUCUCUUGCCCUGUGGUUCCGCAGCACUUGCAGUUGCACCAUGGAGCACAUUCAGAAUGUUUAAGCUGUCCCUCCGUGAAAGGUACAGCUGACUCCUGAGCAGAGUUGCUGGUUGGAGGAGCGCACCGUUGGUAGGACGGCUUCCCCGAUGCGUUGGCACGCUUCACUUUUUUUUGUUGUUCUGUUUUUAUUGAUGUAAGUUUCAUGCUGUCUUGAUUUGCCAACAGUGUUGUCUAGUUGGGAAAUAAAAU
Centrocercus urophasianus (Greater sage-grouse) is the source of this 1488-nucleotide RNA transcript. It is a transcript of the gene named nudix hydrolase 3, with no coding region annotated. The record is from RefSeq and is a predicted model, not a curated record. NCBI's taxonomy places the organism in Eukaryota, Metazoa, Chordata, Aves, Galliformes, Phasianidae. The transcript is spliced from 6 exons.